AGACAACUUCCCUCCGAAGGGUAGACGGGCCUGCUGGGAUACUGAGGGAGGACUGGGUCAGGCGCUGGGCGGGGUUUUCGCAGCUCCGCGGAACGCCGGGAAAGGGUCACGUCCAGAUGAGGGAUCCGGUUCCGGUGCAGACGGCGGCCUCGGCGUUGCCGCGGCAGUGCGGUUGGCCGGUACCUGGGUGGUGAGCUCGCGUUGUUGGAGGGGCUGGAGUUGUUCUCGGUCCUGUGUUGUCCGCUUAGUUCACGAGACGCUCUCGUCUGUGUGGUCGGGGCUUCGCUGACUUUCCCAGCCUACUUAAGCCCCUGGGCCUGGGCCCCAGGAAAGGUGUGUUGUAUGGGAAACUUAAGAAAGGAAUUGGUUCGUUCGAGAAACGUUUUCCGAGCAGCUGCUGCGUGCAAGGCACUGCGCCGGGGCGAGAAGUCCAGUGAGACCUGUGCCCAAAGGUUGACAAAUGAGAGGCGGGCACAAAGCAAUGUGGGAUACAGGGGAGGGAAAGGAAGCCUCCCGAGGCCCACCGCUUUCUCCAUUCUUCAUUGUGCAUGUCGCACCUUGUCGUGCAUCAUUAGCUUGCUUGUUGCCUUCCCUCCCAGACUUCGACUUCAUUCACCGCUGCAGCUUCAGUAUUGAAAACGGGUGCUCACGUUGGUGACAAGAGUGACCGCCGAAGAGCGGGGCUCCGUGAAAUCGCCGCGUGAUCUGUAGUCUCGGCGUCGCACUGGGUUGAUGGUACCCUGGAGCAUCCCAGACUUGCAGAGAAAGCAUCCUCCAGAGGAAGCUGAGGCAUGACUGCUCGAGGGCCGGCAGUGCCAUGUGCAAUUUUCCUCUGAUAGUUCCCAGUGCUGUUGCCACGGCGAUGGUGGCUGUGCCAUGCCAUUGUCUAUCAACCGACAGGAAGAGAAAACUGGCAGUCAGAUAUUGUUUAACAGACGAAGUGGUUUCUGUUGGACACUUAAGUACUGCUAACAAAUUACCUUUCUUUUCCUUUCUUUUUUUUUUUUAGAAAAAAACCCUAAAUGUUUUAAAAGGGUGGCUGGAGGUGACCUCGUUCUGCAUUCAAGGUUAAAAAUCUGAAAAUUAGAAUAUGUGCUCUCAGCAAGAGUAUCUUCUAAAUAAUCAUUCAGCAUGAAACUUGAGCCCCAUAAGCUGAAAAUUACACUCAAGACUUUCCUGAGAAAUGCUCCCCAGUGACAUAUUUAUUUAACCCCCCUUCGAUGUCAUUGAUUCCAGGUAAAUCAGAGGAACAGACAUCAUGAACAGAAAUAAUACAGGAAGUGAUGUGAUGCCGAAGUUUAACUGUUGUUCCAGAAGUCCAGCAUCUGUGGCUCAUAACUUUAGGAACUGUAUCAUUUGCAAGGUCACCUAACUUUUACUCAUAUUGGGUUGGCCAGAAAGUUCACUCAGUUUUCCUGUAAGCUGAGAGAACCCGCACGGACUUUUUGGCCAACCCAAUACAGUAAGUUUUGUUUGUUUGUUUUUGUUUUUUUUUAAAUAAAUAUUGACAGUUUGUUCCAGAAAACCUAAAUUGUAAAUUGCCUACUCUAAGCUGCCUGAUUCUCUGCUUGUGUUCACUGGAAUAGGGAGAAGAAUUUGCAAACUGAUUAUGUGAGGGUCCGAAAUGUAAAACCGAGCCGUG
Molecule: long non-coding RNA, 1642 nt
Organism: Bos taurus (domestic cattle)
Lineage: Eukaryota; Metazoa; Chordata; Mammalia; Artiodactyla; Bovidae
Source: Ensembl